GACGAACGCUGGCGGCGUGCUUAACACAUGCAAGUCGAACGGAAAGGCCCUGCUUUUGUGGGGUGCUCGAGUGGCGAACGGGUGAGUAACACGUGAGUAACCUGCCCUUGACUUUGGGAUAACUUCAGGAAACUGGGGCUAAUACCGGAUAGGAGCUCCUGCUGCAUGGUGGGGGUUGGAAAGUUUCGGCGGUUGGGGAUGGACUCGCGGCUUAUCAGCUUGUUGGUGGGGUAGUGGCUUACCAAGGCUUUGACGGGUAGCCGGCCUGAGAGGGUGACCGGCCACAUUGGGACUGAGAUACGGCCCAGACUCCUACGGGCGGCAGCAGUGGGGAAUAUUGCACACUGGGCGGAAGCCUGAUGCAGCAACGCCGCGUGCGGGAUGACUGCCUUCGGGUUGUAAACCGCUUUCGCCUGUGACGAAGCGUGAGUGACGGUAAUGGGUAAAGAAGCACCGGCUAACUACGUG
Molecule: ribosomal RNA, 468 nt
Filed under: uncultured bacterium
Lineage: Bacteria
Description: partial 16S ribosomal RNA
Rfam family: Bacterial small subunit ribosomal RNA
Source: RNAcentral